This 298-nucleotide ribosomal RNA is filed under the name uncultured Veillonellaceae bacterium. Its description in RNAcentral is "partial 16S ribosomal RNA". Lineage: Bacteria; Bacillati; Bacillota; Negativicutes; Veillonellales; Veillonellaceae. The record is from RNAcentral.
GGAGUCUGGACCGUCUCUCAGUUCCAAUGUGACCGUUCAUCCUCUCAGACCGGUUACCGAUCGUCGGCACGGUAAGCCUUUACCCCACCGUCUACCUAAUCGGACGCAAACCCCUCUCAAAGCGAUAAAUCUUUAAUACUUACUCCAUGCGUUGUAUGUACUUCAUUCGGUAUUAGCAACCCUUUCGAGCUGUUGUCCCCAUCUUUGAGGCAGGUUAUUUGCGCUUUACUCACCCGUUCGCCACUGGGACCAAAGUCCCCGUUCGACUUGCAUGUGUUAAGCACGCCGCCAGCGUGUC